UCUUAGUUAGCUCAGUUGGCAGAGCGCUCCACUGGAAUUGAAGAGGUCCUUGGUUCGAUACCAGGACCAGGCG
RNAcentral lists this transfer RNA (73 nucleotides) under Ixodes scapularis (black-legged tick). It matches the Rfam family "tRNA". From Rfam's summary of the family: Transfer RNA (tRNA) molecules are approximately 80 nucleotides in length. Their secondary structure includes four short double-helical elements and three loops (D, anti-codon, and T loops). Further hydrogen bonds mediate the characteristic L-shaped molecular structure. tRNAs have two regions of fundamental functional importance: the anti-codon, which is responsible for specific mRNA codon recognition, and the 3' end, to which the tRNAs corresponding amino acid is attached (by aminoacyl-tRNA synthetases). tRNAs cope with the degeneracy of the genetic code in two manners: having more than one tRNA (with a specific anti-codon) for a particular amino acid; and 'wobble' base-pairing, i.e. permitting non-standard base-pairing at the 3rd anti-codon position. Lineage: Eukaryota; Metazoa; Arthropoda; Arachnida; Ixodida; Ixodidae. The record is from Rfam by way of RNAcentral.